Molecule: long non-coding RNA, 789 nt
Organism: Lolium rigidum
Lineage: Eukaryota; Viridiplantae; Streptophyta; Magnoliopsida; Poales; Poaceae
Exons: 4
Source: RefSeq, a predicted model, not a curated record
UUGCCGUGAUGCUUACAACCGAGCAAGAGUUUGAAGGUGUUGGAGAGUGGGAGAACACUUGGUUGAAACAUGAGCUGUUGGUCAGUUUUCCUCAGUAUCCUAUUGCUAUCAAGAGUAGAAUGGACGGUGGAAAGAGAAUGGUGCGAUUUCUUCAUCUACGAUAACUCUGCUCUUGUACUCUUGAGGAAUGCUGACAAGUGACACUGACAAACAUGGAUGUAGGAGGUUAUUCUGAAGUAAGUUUGAAAAAAAAAGACCUGGAUAGAUCAAAGAAAUACAUCAAGAUGUCGCAGAAGUGGCCGGGAAGGAUGUGUUGCCAACACCACCGAGCUUCGGGUAGAUGGCUGGCCGAAUCUUGAACACAACCCACAUCGUACGCAUCGCGUGGCCGGCAGUGUCGAGCCCUUCGUUCGUCGCUGCAGCAGAUUUUUCUUCGUACCUGAAGGAGAAGAAGCACAGUGUAAAGGGAAGAUUCUCGGAACUGUGGUCCAAGGAGGAGCAGAAACAAGCACUCGUGAGACACAAGAUCGGUGGCCACGAUCGAUAAUGUUGACAACAUCCUGAAGCCCACGACACUCCCCGAGUUCACCAUAUGAUCAUAGAGCAGCAAGAACUAGAGUUUCAAGCUUCGUUGUUCGCAACCACUAGCAAAUAGAAGCCUGCAUUUUCAGUGCCCGCUUGUAGAUAUGUGUGCUAUAAACAAAGAGGAACCUGAGUGUCAUGUCUUUUUCCUCUACUGUUGUAAACAUUUUUGUGAUGGGAACAAUACAUCCUUGUUUGGUUUGGUUA